AAGACCUUGCACUUUUGGAGCGGCCGAUGUCUGAUUAGCUAGUUGGUGGGGUAAUGGCCUACCAAAGCUUCGAUCAGUAGCUGGUCUGAGGGGACGGCCAGCCACACUGGGACUGAGACACGGCCCAGACUCCUACGGGAGGCAGCAGUGGGGAAUUUUGGACAAUGGGCGCAAGCCUGAUCCAGCCAUGCCGCGUGAGUGAAGAAGGCCUUCGGGUUGUAAAGCUCUUUCAGCCGGGAAGAAAAGGUUGCGACUAAUAAUCGCAAUUCAUGACGGUACCGAAAGAAGAAGCACCGGCUAACUACGUGCCAGCAGCCGCGGUAAUACGUAGGGUGCGAGCGUUAAUCGGAAUUACUGGGCGUAAAGGGUGCGCAGGCGGUUUUGUAAGUCAGAUGUGAAAUCCCCGGGCUUAACCUGGGAACU
RNAcentral lists this ribosomal RNA (423 nucleotides) under uncultured bacterium. Its description in RNAcentral is "bacterial SSU rRNA". It matches the Rfam family "Bacterial small subunit ribosomal RNA", at positions 207 to 622 of the family's 1533-position model. The record is from RNAcentral.